Molecule: RNA transcript, 2307 nt
Organism: Apis cerana (Asiatic honeybee)
Lineage: Eukaryota; Metazoa; Arthropoda; Insecta; Hymenoptera; Apidae
Gene: Tmx3
Gene name: Thioredoxin-related transmembrane protein 3
Source: RefSeq, a predicted model, not a curated record
AUGCAUAGUAUAAACGUUACUAGUUCAGAAACUGCCGGUAUGAAGAUUGUAUGGCAUCAGAGAAUAAAAACACAGUAGAAAUGUACUGGAUUUUAUCAUAUACAUUUCAAUUUGACAAUCAAAAGUGUUAAUUAUCUUAAUUAUGUGAAAAUAAAUUAAUUAAAUAUUAUAUUUUGGAUUUUACUAUUUAAAAAAGUAGUCUUUUUCGAUAAAAAAAUUUUUUUGCUGCAAUGGUAAUAAUAACGAAAUUGAUGUUUAUUGCAGUUAUUUACGUUUUUUCAGGUAUUUUUACUUCUGUAAUAGCAUCACGUGUACUUGAAUUAAGUGAUAGAUUUUUGGACAUUCAUAAAGAUGGACAAUGGCUUGUAAUGAUGUAUGCACCAUGGUGUGCACAUUGCAAAAGAUUAGAACCAAUUUGGGCUCACGUAGCACAAUAUUUACAUGCAACAUCAAUACGAGUUGGACGAGUUGAUUGUACUAGAUUUACGAAUGUUGCUCAUGCUUUUAAAGUUAAAGGAUUUCCAACUAUUAUAUUUUUAAAAGGUGAGCAAGAAUUUAUAUAUAAUGGGGAUAGAACACGAGAUGAAAUAGUAAAAUUUGCAUUAAGAGUAAGUGGUCCACCAGUUCAGGGAAUAACAAAAACUCAAAGUUUUGACACUAUUAAAAAAGAACAUGAUAUAUACUUUUUAUAUGUUGGAGAACGAUCUGGUCCAUUAUGGGAAUUUUAUCAUAAGACUGCAAAUGUGUUCCAACCACAUGCAUUUUUCUAUCAAUCUCAUCCAAAUAUUGUUAGUAAACAUGCUCCUGUAGAAAAUAUUCCAGCAUUAUUUGUUUAUAAGGAAAAUAUACAUUACAACUUUAGUGAUCAUAAUAUAAAUGAUAUAGAAAAAUUAAAUGAGACAAUGUAUAAAUGGAUAAAUGCAGAACGUUUUCCUACAUUCCCAAAAGUAACAAGAGGAAACAUAAAUCAACUUUUUUUGACAAAUAAAAAUUUGGUUUUGGCAGUAGUAGAAGAAAAUCAAUUAGAAAAAAUACCAUUACACAUGGCACGGUUUAAAGACAUGGUAGAAUCUAUCAUUAAAAACAAACGAGAAAAAUAUCAUGAUUAUUUUCAGUUUGGUUGGAUAGCUAGUCCAGAUCUAGUCAAUAGUAUAGCAAUGAUGAUUUUACCAUUACCAAGUUUAAUUGUUAUUAAUACUACAACAAACCAUCAUCACAUUCCGGAGGAUGAAACUGAAAAAUUAACUCCUCAUGUGAUAGAAUUGUUCCUAGAGCAAAUUCGAAAUGAAAGUGCUCCGCGAUAUGGUGGAAAUAGUUGGUUGAUACGUAUAUAUAGAUCAUGGUUUGAAUUAAAAACAACUCUUUCUGCAAUGUGGAUGGGUAAUCCCAUUCUAACAAUGGUCUUAUUUGGUUUACCAGCAGGAUUCUUAUCAUUAAUAUGUUAUGGUAUUUGUUGUCCAGAUAUUUUAGAUGCAGAUGAUGACGAAGAAGACCAUCCAGGAGCAAAUCAUAUGAAGAAAGAUUAGAAUAAUUGGAUUAACAUAUUGUUUAUAUUAAACAAUUGUAUAAAAUUGUAAAUUUUUAACCUGUAAAUUUCAAUUUCAUUUAGUAAUUUAAUAUAUUAAUUUAAUUAAAUUACAUGAAUUAUGAAAAUGAUAAUUUUUUGUAAUUAGUAAAAUGAAACAAAUUUUAUGAAUAUAUACAAGAUAGUCCAUAAUACAAAUAGAUCAGGAGAUUUUACGAAUUACGCAUUAUCCUGUAUAUACAGAUAUACACAGAAUAUAUUUAUAACAUAGUUUUGGAAGAUUAAUUUUAGAAGAUCAAAACAAAAAUUAAAAUGUAAAAAUAUUAGUUGAGAAUUAUUUAUUAAUUUAUAAGCAAUUUAAGUUCUCAUUGAAGCAAAAAGAGAAAUGGUGAUGUAAAAGUUAUAAAGUGUUUGCGUUUAACGCAAAUUUCAUUUUCUUACAAGUUAAUAAAUAAAUAUCAACCAAUAUUUUUCAAUAGUAACUUACAUAUUUGUUUUGGCUUCUAGAAUCGAUUUUCUAAAAAUGUUCCACUAAUAUAUUAAUAUUGUGUACUCGUAUAUAUAGUAUAAUGUAAAAAUAAAUAUCUUAACUAAAUGGAACUUUCAUAAGACAAUACAAAUCAUAUGUAGACAUAAAUAAGCUUUUUUAAACCUCGUAGAAAAAUUUAUUCUAUAUUACAAAAAAAAUAUAAAAAUAUAUUAAAGUUUUAAGAAAAAAAUGUAAGUGGUAAAUAAUGUUCUGUAUACUUUGAAAUUAAAUAUAUAUAUGUUUGUUUAUGUAA